This 27-nucleotide non-coding RNA is filed under the name Mus musculus (house mouse). The record is from RNAcentral. Lineage: Eukaryota; Metazoa; Chordata; Mammalia; Rodentia; Muridae. RNAcentral also lists the same sequence under 1 other name.
UCAACCAAUUAGACUGAAAGCCCUGGC